AAUCAGCUGUUAUUAUUGUUAUUCAUCAUUUUAUAAAUGAGGAAACCAAAGCACUGAACAGUUAAAUGGCUUAUCUAGUGUCACACUCCUAGUAAGAGUGACUCUUCCCUUGAUUAAUCUGUUUCAAUCUUACCUGUUUCUCUCCUCUCCUUUGAACUCUUUGCAACAGGCCAAUUGCACUAUUUAUCUAUCUAUGUGUGGAACACAGAAGGUGCUCAAUGUGUGUAUUUGUAAAAUAGACUAGUCUAAACUAGAUUGGCAUUUCAACUCUCAGAAUUUCUCUUAAAGAAUCUUACCAUUCAUUGGGCUGGCGAUGUGGCUCAAGCGGUAGCGCGCUCGCCUGGCAUGCGUGCGGCCCAGGUUCGAUCCUCAGCACCACAUACAAACAAAGAGGUUGUGUCCGCCUAAAACUAAAAAAUAAAUAAAUAUUUAAAAAUUCUCUCUCUCUUUAAAAAAAAAAAGAAUCUUACCAUUCAAAUGCCAUAUUUCAUCAGAACCACAUAAUUCAUUACUAUCAAUAUAGUUCUCUCAUAUCAAUAUAAUUAUGUUAUUAACUUCAAUAUAUUAAAACUGCAUUUGUAAGUCCUAUAAAUGAAAUAAUUGAGAGUUGUCUUGGGAAAUAUAAUAGAGAGGAAAAGAAUGAAUAUUUUAUUGUUAAUCUACUCGGGUUAAUUCCAUUCUAUUAGUUAUAUAUUGCUACAUGACAAAUUAGCCCAAAACUUAGCAGCUUAAAAUAACAAUCACAUUUUACAGUCUGGAGAUCAGCUUAGCUAGGUCCCUGGGCUUCUGGGCUCUCGGGAAGUUGUGAUCAAGGUCUAGGCUGGAGUUAUAGUUACUUGUGGGCUGGACUAGGUUAUGAUUCCCAUCCAGGCUCAGUUCCGUGACUGCAGGCAGGCCUCAGGUCCUUGCUGGCUGUUGGUUAGAGGCCUUAGCUUUGGGUUUUGUUUUUGGUUUUUUUCCUCACAAGGUUUUCUCCUUUGGGCAUUCAUAUGUGGCAGGAGGCCUUCCUCAGAGCAGGAGAGCCAAGAGAGGGCAAGAAAGGGCAUGUCAGCAAAAGCCAUAGCUUCUCUGAAACUUAAUCUUGGAAGUGACAGCCCAUCAUUCUUGGCUUCCAUUCAAUAGAAGAGUGUCACAGGGUUCAGCCUAUACUCAAGAGGACAGGGUUAUACCAGAUGGUGAACACUAGGCAGCCAGAAUCAUCAGGUCAUCUUAAAGCUACCUGCCUUCAUAUUAAAUGUUAUUGUUCAACUACAGAGUAAAUCAAAAGAAAUAAAAUUCCGACAGAAUGAUCCCUGCCUUGUUCAGAUUUUUUUAAGGGAAAAGUUACAGAAACUCAAUUCAAAGUCACUUUAGCAGGGAAAAAAAAAUAUUUAAAAGUUCCCAGGGUUGUCCUGAAAACUAGGUCCAGCAAAUUUCUGUUCUGUGGUCCUUUUGACACUCAACUCUUCUUUCUAACUAGUUUUGCAUGGAUUCUAUCAACCUGUCUUGUGCUCCAUGGUAACCCAUAAAGUCAGGAGGAAAGGAAAUGACCCAAUUGACCAGAUCUGGGUCACUUUCUCACCCCUGGAACCUGGGAGAACGUGACAGGAGUAAGAUAUCAAAGUCAUAUGAACUGAAUGUAGAGGAAAGAAAAAUUGAGGUGCUGUUAUCACAAUAAGGAGCAUUGGCAGAUGGGAAAGCAAAUCACUUAGGACCCCUGCUCCUAUCUGUCCCUUUGUGCCUUUACCUGUUCUGUCUCAUGUGGUUUACUAUGUUUUUUAUUUCAUUUGGCCUGUUACAACUGAGUGUCUUAUAAACAGCAAGAAUUUUAUUUCUCAGAAUUCUAGAGCUGGGAAAGUUCAAGAUGAAGGUGUUGGGUGAUUUGUUAUAUGGUGAGGUCCUGUUCCUUACAGAUAUCACCUCCUACACCUCUUCCUAGGGGCAAUUUCCAUUGGUGGGAGGGACAAGGCGGCUCUCCGAGGCCUCUUGUAAAUGAUCAUUGAUGAGAACUUCACUCUCAUGAGCUAAUCACACAUACACACACCCAGAAGCCUCAUUUUUUUCCCACACUUUCACCUUGGAGUUAAAUUUCCCCAUACAAGUUCAGGGUGGGGGCACAGACAUUUAAACCAUAGCUAUGGUAGGUAUACAAGAUGAUGUACCUUGUCUUGUUUGUAGGAAUACAAAGGGAACUACAUUUCUCAAGAGUUCAUGCUAAACAACUGCUUAAAAUCAAUAACAAAAGGUAAACCACAGUUUUGCAAGACAGUUGUGUCUUAUAGAAUCAAAAGGCCUCCUACACAUUUUUGUGUCCUCUUUCAGUAUUAGUAGAGCACAUACUAAUAUGUAGAGCAUAGCCAUCUAACUAGAGUUUCAGCCUGAUAACAAAGCUUUAUUAGUGUGUUGACUUACAGAAAACACAAGUGUGUGUGCACAGAUAGUAAUUGGGAUCAGCUGGGGCCAUUUAGGGGUCAAAUACCAAGUAUCCAAGGUCACUCUUGUGUAAAAUUGAACCUAAUAAGCUGCAGUCCCUGCUUUAUAGCAGCUUAUUUGUCAUUGCUUUUUCAUUGGUUGUAUUCCUCCCCACACUUUUGAGUAUCUAAAAAAUGAGACCUAGGGAUUUGGCCAUAGCUUUUUAUCUAGAGAGAAAAUAGAAUGGUUGGACAGCUAUUGUGAUUAAAUUAAGUUAAAUGAGGUCGAUUGCAAAACCCCAAAUCAUUUGUCAGACCUUGGUGCAGUUUUCCACCACGCUGCAGUCUCUUGUAAACUGGGCCCUGCUCAGAAUAACAGUCUUCGCCUGAAGCCUCUUGACUCCUCCUCUUCCCUGUCCUGCGAGGACCCCUGGGAGUCAGUGUGUCCCAUGGCUCUCACCACUCUCCUUCCAGCUGUAGCACUUUGCAGACAGGAUAUUUGGUGGAGACGCUGUUCCAUCAACUUUGCUUUCUUGCGUGUUUGUCACUAGACAUUGUGAGGAAGUGGAGAUGCUGAGAAAAACAGAACACAGGCCAUGUCUGAGGAUGUGAUAAGAGAUGAAUGACAUCUGGCCUGGGAUCAGGGAGGAGAAGAAAGAAGCAGAUUUACUAGUCCUGGAUCAAGUGGCCACAGAGGUGAAUUUGCCUUCUGAAACUGUUCGUUGUUCUCCUGCUGCCCACCUGUUGCCACAUGGCUCACAUGGUGCCCUGCCAUCCAGGUCUGCCCAUAAUAAAAUACUUAUGGUCUUCAUGUAUUUCAAGUGUUCUACCACGAUGCAAGUUCAAAAUCCACCAUCCUCUAUCUAUCUAUGUACUCAUUCAUUCCCCGGAUUUUGGUUUUCUCUAUCUCCAUCCCCAAAUCUCAGCCUUCCUCACCUUCUUCAUCCUUAUCCCAAUCAAAAAGGUAUGCUAAUAAUGACAUAGAAUUAUUUGCUAACCAAAUGGCUUUCUUCUUAAAAUUCACAUAGGGUAUAUGCCUAUCUGGUAAUUUAGGUCAUUAUGGUUUCUUUUUUAAUUUUUAAAUUUUUAUUUGUUCUAAUUAAUGAUAAUGUCAGUAUAAUGCAUUUUGACACAUCAUACAUAAAUGGAGUAUAACUUCUCAUUCUUCUGGUUGUACAUGAGGUGGAGUUUACAGGUCGUGUAAUCAUAUAUGCACAUAGGGUAAUAAAGUCUGAUUCAUUCUAUCAUUCCUAAUCCCAUACCCCCUCCCCUCCCUUCAUUUUCUCUGUCUAAUCCAAAGUACCUCAUUUCUUCCAUUGGACCCCCCCCCUUAUUAUGAAUUAGCAUCCACAUAUCAGAGAAAACAUUUGGCCUUUAGUUUUUUGGGAUUGGUUUAAUGUUUUGCUUUUGGUUUUGUUUGUUGCUUGCUUUCGCUUAUUAACCCCAAUGAAUCUGUAAAUGAUGAGAUUUCAGGCAGAGUAAGACAGUUUGGGACUGGGUCACUUUUACUAAAUUUUGUUAAGGGUACUCUACAUAGAUAUGAGGACACUUAAUAGAUAUGGGAAACUUGGCAGCCUCUUUUGACAGAAACAUUUCUAUCUCCUCCACUUUUCUUCUUCAACCACUUUUCAAAUUUCUUCUACUUUUCUUUUUCAUAUCCAGCUCCUUAUUUGGAAUUUGAGGCCUAGGCUAACUUAGUAGAAUGUUAAAUCGUCAGUGUAAGUUAAUGGAGUUAUAAAAUUUGGUUGAAUUAUCAAUCACCAGGCAUGAUAGUCAAAAGAACCAGAACCUGGCAGGUAGGGGUAGUCCUAGUGUACCCAGAGUUGGUCCAACCUUUCUGGCAGCAUAUUCUCUUCUUCAGGGAGAUAGAGGCAACAAGCACUGCUAGAGAAGGAUGGAGAACACAUAAAAGGCACAUAUGGCCUGAUGAAAUAACAGAAGGUCCUUACGCCAGCCAAGAGGACCCUUCACAGGGAAAUAUCAAAGGGGAGGUGGGAGGUCCAGUGGUGCUAUCAUAUGCAACCAAAUAAAUUGCUUUGUGUUGCCUUUAAAAGCAAAGCUGUGACCAAUGAGUAGGAAAGAACUUUUAUUUCUUUUUUUAAAGCAAUAACAUGUCUUUACUGUGACCCCCUACUUGUGAUGCUAGAGAAGGAACAUAUGCAAGGAGACCCAUGAUGGAAAACAGCUCAUAUAUUAUGUGUGAACUCUGGCCAGCUGGUGGAAUCUGAUUAUAUAGUGUUGUCAUUAUGACCAGGGACACUGGAGGAAAAUGAACCUGGCUUUGACUGCCCCUUGAAACUGUGUGACUUCAUCUCUAAUUCUCUAAAAGGGGAAUAAUAAUUGACCUCUCUUAAGAUGUUGUGAGGCUAUAAAAUGAGGUGAUGCAUUCAAAGUGGUUAGUACAGCAUCUUGCACAUACUAGUUGAUCGAUGUUAUUUUGGGAAAGUCUGAGGUCAGGGGAAUCUGUGUUUGGAAGGCAAGCGGGCUUUUAUCAGUUAAUGAUGUGAGUCAAAGUGUGCUAUGUAUUCAUCAUCUUUGGAGGAUGGUUGAAUUAAACAAUCAUUUAUGCUCAAUCUGAUUUUUUAUGUUAACAGUUAUUUACUUAAAAUAUAAAUGAGGAAGUAUUGACUUCAACAAGGGGCUUUUCCCUUCUAUUUUUUCCCUUUGGUCUCUCUAUUCCUACCUACCUGUAAGUUCAAAAUUAUGACAAUGUUGUAAGAAGUAAACACCAUUUCUGUUCUACUGUCCUAUUAACCUUGAUGGUCUUGCACCAUGAAUGAAUUGAAAGAAAGUGCACUUUGCAAUGCAUAAUGAAUGAACCUGCACUUCUUAAAUGUCUCAGUUCUACUAUGAAUUGGAUAUUUAGAAAAAAUGUGAGGAAAUCAAACCCUAAAAUAGGCUGUCGUUUGCCAAGUCAAAUAUGCUUCAUCUGAAUGAGUUUUCUUCUACUUGCAUCGAACUCAAAAUAGUGUUUUUCUAGCACUUGGGGGUAGGAAUGGUUACUUAGAUUCUUGGGGACCUAAUCUUAAAUAUCCAUGGAUACUUAAGAAGAAAACUUGAAAUUUAUGUGUUGACCAUUAAUCUUUAGCCUAACUUACUAUAUAUUGUUAAGAACAUUACCAAGGAAAUAGAUCAUUAAAAGAGGUUCUGUUUGGAAGGUCAUCUCUCUGGGUGUUGAAUAACUCUUGGAUCUCAAAACUCAGUCACUUCACUGAUAGGUAACUGCCAAGAGGAAAACGUUUCUGCCUGUUGAAGACAGCAUUGGUCCAAUGGAUGUAUUUUCCUCAGAUAUAAAUAAGUGAAAACAGCUGGAUUAUAACCUGGAAACAAAGUUACUCAGGGUUUUUUACUUGUGACAUUUUAACUACCAAGAAAUAAUACAUCUGUGUACUAAUUAACUCCAGCUUAGAAACAUGGCAAAAAAUACUAUUAAUUCAAGGAAGCAAUAUUGCCCAUUGGUUAAAUUCUUAUACUCUAGAGUAAGAACUAAUUGGAAUCCUGGCAUCUCUACUUAAUUAAUAUUUAACCUUGUCAAAGUAUAUUAACUUUUCUAGUCAUCUCUGGUUUCACCCUGUAUAAAAUGUGUGUAAGUGUUAGUUAGACCUGUUGUCUCUCCUGGAGAUCAGAUCAGAUCAUUAGAAAUGACUUAUCACAGAGAUUGCUACUAGGUAAGCAGAUAACUAUUAUUAGUCAGAGGAAAAAAAAAAUGGUUUCCAUGUCAAGAUGCCUAGAAUCUGAUCCCAGCUUUAAUACUAUCUAGCUGUGUAAUUCUGGACUAAUUCAGGAUUCUCUGGACCUUAGAUCCUUAACUGAAGGUGAAAAAAAAUGAUUAGAAGAUUUUGAAUAUUACUUCCAACUCUAAAAUACUAUCCUGUUUAGCAGAAGCAUUGAAAAAUCCCAACUAAAAAAAGAAAGAUUCCAGGAUUUCUAACUGCUAAAUAUUUCAGCCUUUACUUAAACAUUCCCCUUGUAUGAGAAACACCUUUUGUUUUUCCCCACCUCUAUUUCCCUAGGAAUUUCAUUACCCCCAGUUCCAGGGAAAGGUGUUAAGGAGAAAAUUAGCACCUCCUUGCUACUGUUUAAACACUUAACUGUCCUUAAUUGCUCUCUUUAAAAUAUCUCUGUCUUCAUGACCUCACAAAUCCUGUCUUAAUGAGAUUCUUAAAAUCUGUUUACCAAACACAAAUUUAUCUAACAUUUAUAAAGAAAAGUGCACAAAUUCUGAAUGUACCACAUGAUGAAUCUUUAAGAAGAGAACGCAUCUUUGUAAAUCAAGAAGUGGAUCAUCACCAGAACCUCACAAUUCCCAGCCUGCCUAUUCCAGUCACUAACUCGCCUGGAGAUUUUGUGGGACAAGAAUUUAGAUGGAGGGCAACAGAGAUAGCACGUCUGCUCCCCGCUGUCUGGGGCCUCAGCUUGUCAUUGGCUUGGACUUCACUCAACUGUCAACUAGAGUAACUACACGUGGCUUCUCCCCUGGGCUAGUGUGGGCUUCCUCACAACACAGCAGCUGGGUUUCAGGAGGGAGCAGUCCAAGAGGGCAAGAUGCAAGGGGACAGCACAUGAGCCUCAUCAUUCCAUGGGAGAAGCGUCAAGAUCACAUCGUAAAAAAAACGACUAGAAUGGGAGGUAUUGUGAGAUGUAUUUUUGGAUCCCACUUUUAUCUGGAUUUUUCUCUUUCUUUUAUGACUACUGUUCCUGUCCUACCCAAUUUGAUCUUACUGCCGUAGUUUCUUUUUUACUUUGGGGUUCUGUUCUGGACAGGAGCUGUGGCUGAUCAAAUUCAAAAGUUAACAGGGACUGGAUGGCUCUGUACUGUUUGGGCCUUGCCAUGAGCCCUUAGCCCUCCCAGGCUUUUGGAGUUUGGCAACUGUAGCCACAUGAUCCAGUUGGCUUGCAAUACUCUGUAGUGUUGGCUCUUUGGGAAUUCUGCUGUUCUCAGACACCUCUUUACUUCUCCCUGCUUCCUGUUGUAUAGAUGUUGGUAUUGUCUUUCUUAGUGGCUUGUCCUUACUUGUUUGUCGUUUAGAGUUUGUGAGAUACAUUGCCUCUUAGUUUGGUGUAAAAGUUGGCCAUAGGGUUUUGAUUGCAUUGCUCUCUCUGUUUUUUAGGUGGGGAGUUGGGAAGACCCAAAUUAUGACCCCACUGUCAUCACCAUGUUAUCUGAAUUCACCAGGAGUAUCCUUUUAAGAAUAUGAAUCCCUUCGUGUUCCUGCUGCUUGCACACACGAGUGGCAUCCCACUGCAACACUUUACCUUGAGCACUGGGCACAUGGGGAUUCCAGUCUGCUCCUCUGCCCUAGCAGACCAUUCCCUACCCCAUCACUGCACUCCCCAUACUAAGCUCUCUAUUCCUCGAGAGGAGCUCCAAGUUUGCCUGAGGGCCUUUGCACAGGCCUGGCUGAAUAUUUCUUCCUAUGCAAAUUUUAAAAUAUAUAUAUAUAUAUUUAGUUUUUGAUUGUAGUUGGACAUAAAACCUUUAUUUUAUCUAUUUAUUUUGAUGUGGUGCUGAAGAUCAAACCCAGGGGUCACACGUGCUAGGCAAGCGUUCUACUGCUGAGCCACAAUCUCAGCCCUCCUAUGCAAACAUUUUAACUGCCCUGUCCUCAAACAGAUACUUAAUUUCUUGUCAUAGUGGCUCUCCAAUCAUAUGCUCUCCAACCACAAACAUGUGGUUCCAUUUUAUUUUCACCACUGCACUUAUUGUUAGAUGAUAUCAUUUAUGUUUGUUUAUUGGGUCCCCUACAACAAACACUAACAUGUAAGGAAUCUCUUUAAACACUGUGUUCCUGGUGUCUGGCACUCAGGAGAUGUGGAAUCAGUGAGUGUUUGAGAAGUGAGUAACCAGCGUAGGUUCCCUGAUACAUACUAUCAUUAUAAUCUCUAAGCUGCUUUGUCUUGUGGAUCUUCAUUUACUAAAAAGCCUUUUUAUCUCUAAUAUUCUUGGAUAUAGUAAACCUGUGACAUUCAUGAGGAACAUGCCUACGGGGACUUCUUCUAUCCACAGAGUCACAAAUAUAACGUAACACUUCCUCCAUAAAGUGCAGUAAGUGUAACUGAAAAAUUUAAGUGGCCUCUUAAUGUUUCUUUGAAUACAGAACUAAAAUCAUUUCUAAAGCCAUUAAAAUACAUUCAGCCACUAAAAUAAAUGCUACAGUACAUUACACAAGGUUUUUAUUUUCAAGAGGUUCUUAUUAUUCCCCUCAGUGCCCUAUGGUUUGGCAAAUAGGAAAGUCCAGCUUAAUUUGAACACUUGCCAUAUUGACCUAGAGUAGAAAAGACUAACUGUCCUUGGGUAGCUUAAAUCAUAUUUCACCUUUUCAUUGGGAAAUUAUCUGUUAACAAAGGAAUAUUUCUAUACAGCAUUACUUUCUUGGUUGAAAAGGUUUUCUGGUUCCUCUGCUUAGGGAGAAUGCUUCUGAAGUUGUGUGAACAGCCCAUGCGCCUUGCUGUCAAUCUCCCCUCUUCCUCACAGUCUCAAGCAGAGACUGACUGGUCAGAGGUGAGAUUAAUUCAGGCUCUGCCCUCCCAUUUUGAUCACCUGUCACAUCUGGACAAUGUUGGCACAAGCUCCACAGCUUCCAGUGGACUCUCAUGUCCCUUUCUUGUUCCUUUGAAAGUUUUCACAGCUGAGCAACUUUGUUACCUUUAUAAAAAACUAUUUACCUAUAGAAUUUUGGUGUCAUAGACUGGAGUGCCUCUAACUCUGCAUUGAAAAACUAAUCUUUUAUUCCUUCACUUAACUCCAGUUUAUAUUUUUAUUGCAAGAUUUGUGUCUUUAUUGGGUGUUUUACUUUCUUUUCCUUUCUCAUAAGCAACACAACAUGCACAGCAUGCAGAAGACACCACUCUCCUGCUGAGCACUCAUAGUUUUUGACUAGUUUUAUAAAUUGUUUCCUCAGAAAAAUAUUCCAGAACUUUAGUGGACAUUUUAUGUUCUACCUUUGUGUUCCAAGCACCUUAAAUAUAUUUAUCUCAUUUAAUUUAUACUACACUCCUGUAGGAGAUGAGGAUUAAAUAGAUGAUCAUAUCCCCAUAUUACUAGCACAGGAAACUAAGGCUCAGAGAAGUAAAAGCAAAAUUGACUUCUAUCCUAGAUCUGCCUAACUUCAAAAUCUCUUGGCCAUCUCUCUCUCUCUGUAAUAUUAUUUUUUCAAGGAGAUAUAUAUAUUUAAAAUGUGGGUCCUAUAAAAUAUGAAUAUAUAUGUAUGAAAAUAAAAUAUGAGACCCACAUUUUAAAUAGUCAAAUGAUCCAGGUGAAAUUAACUUUAAUUACAUGUCUUAUACCAUAUAUCAAAAUAGCAAUGAUUGCAGUCUGCAACAAGAGAAGAUCAUUAAUGGGCCAUUUUCCUUUCUUUUGCACAAUUCUGGAAUAAAAUUUGGUCUAUAUUUGACAUUUACAGGCAUUUCAAUGUGAUUUAACCAUAUUUCAAGUGUUCAUUACCUAUGAGUGGCCAGAGGCUACUUCAUUGGAUUUCAGGGAGAGAGGAGGGGAGGGGUGGGAGGACAAGAGAGAGAGAAAGUAACCCCUGUACUUCUGAUUCUCAUUCUCAUUUCCUCAGUCUUCCUUCUCAAAGCAAAAUGCAAUUUCUUAUGUGAUUUUCAGUUAUUCUACAAUGAUUCUAUAUUGGAUGUAUUUUUACUUACCUUUUUAUACAAAUAGAGACAUACUGUACACAUAUUUUAUUGUUUUUUAUUUAACACUGUACCUCAGAGAGUCCAUUCCUAGUACUGUGUUUGUGUAGGUAUGUAUGGGUGCAUUGGGUUAUGUAGGUUGUGUGCAUCUAUGUGUGUGUUCCAUUUUGUUCAACAAAUAUUUAUUGAUGACCUCAUUUGUGCAUAUACUUUUCUAGGGACUUGGUUAUAAAAUUCAUAAAUGCCCUGGCCUUCGUAGAGUCCAUGCUUUAGAGAAGAGAGACAGUCAACAUCUAUGUAAGUUACAUAGUCUGAUGGACGAUCAUAAGUACUAUGAAUGAGAAGGAGGAGAAAAACAUGCAUUGGGGGCAGUUUUUAUAGAGAAUAAGGUGCUCAGGAAGACCUCAUCAGGCAGGUGAGAUCCUCUCCCUGUCCUGUGGGAGGCAGGGGGUUACCCAUGGGAGAGGAGCGUUCCAGGCAGGAGAAAGGAGUGUGAAAACUAAGAUGGGAGGGUGCCUGGCACACUAGAGGAGCAGAGGGCCUGUAUAGCUGAGUGUAGGGAGACAGGGAGCAUCUGAGUGAACAAGUCAGCGAGGGAGGGUCAGGGCUUUUGCUGGGCUUUGCCGUCUUCUGUAAUAACUAGACUUUCACUAUAAACACAGGCGUCUGCUAUGUUCUCAUCAGCAGCCAGGAACUUUUCCCUCUGUGGAUGUAUCUUACUUUAUUUACCAGUCUCCCAUUGAGAUGAAUACCUAGGUUGUUUCAGACAUGUUUUAAUUAUGAACGAUGGGACAGUAGAUAUCUUUGAAUCUACAUGGCUUUGCACACGUAUUGACUUACAUAUAGGAUGGAUUCCUAGUUGUGGAAUAACUGGAUGAAGGAAUUCUUAUUUCUAAUUUUCUUAGAUAUUGCCAAAUGGCCCUAAAAAGAGGUUAAGCAAAUUUCCAUUUUCAAUGUGUGAUAGCAAUUUUUUUUCCCUGUUACUGCUAUAGUAAUUAAGGGACAGUAUAAUUUUUGCCAAUCCUAUAAGUAAAAGUGUUCUCUUAUUGGCAGCACUUUUGAGCAAUCCCUCUCCACUCUAAUUCACAUAAUAAAUGUAGACUCUACCCCACACUCCUCUCUUCUUGGGGCUCCCACAUGGGUUGGCACUUUACAUCUAGAGCAGUAUAUAUAUUGUUUUUCCUUUUUAAAUUUGUUUUCACAGUAACCUUUAUUCUAUGUAUUUAUUUUUAUGUGGGGCUGAGGAUUGAACCCAGGGCCACACACAUGCUAGGCAAGUGCUCUACCACUGAGCCUCAGCCCAAGCCCUAUUGCUUUAACUGUUCAUGUCUUCAUGUCUCAAGAGCAGGGUUAAUUUCCUAUUUCUUAUACCCUUGCCACUGACUAGAACUUUGCUUAACACAUAAUAAACAGUUAUUAUUACAUUUUUUGCCAAUUGACAAGUAAAUGACUUAAUUCUGUUUUAAUUAUGCUAUAUAAUCUUACACUUGUGUUAUCAAUUUAGUAAUUAAAAUGACAACAAUAACUGUCAUUGAAACAUUUUGAUUUAUUGAAUUACAUAUUCUUGACUGCUGGCUGAGAACAAUUAUGUAUUCCAUCUGUAAUGCCCAGAAUGGAAAUGGUCAAUUGGUUAUCUCGUUUCUGAUCUCCAAAAUAAGCAUUUCUUUAAAUAUACAAAAACCUAGAAGGACUGAAUUAGACACCUAUGUAGGUGACAGUAAAUACACUUUAACCAGGUUCCUGUAGCUUAAUCUGCUUCUAUCUGGUUUAUCAUCUUGCAACUGAGCAGCAAUUUCUGGUGUGUAGCCUCAGGCAUCCGGCUGCUGAGGUCAUUAGGCUAGUGGCUAUACUGUCACUUGGUUUUGAGAAUCUUGAAAAUGUGAUUUGAGAAUGCAUUUAGACAGAGGAGUGAGUGCCAGGUCAGGAAGAUGUGCAGCAUUUCUUAGGCUGUUUCCCAGCAUGCUCAGAUCCCUGGAGAUGAUAACAAACAUUCCAUUUUGGAAAGGUUUUUCUGUGUCUCCUUCCUUCAUGCAUAGUAAAGGAUUUUGCAAAGCCCCAUAGAAAAUUCUUUAUCCCUGUGUUCCUCAAAUUGACUUGACCACAAAAAAAUUCUAUUUUCCUAGUAAUACCUAUCAAUAAGUCACAGAACAUUAGUUUUCCAUGAAAUAGAAGAGGAAAACAAGAGCAAAUUUUUCUGUUUUUCAUUUUUGUACCAAUGGAGGUGAGUUAUAUAAAUUCAUAAAUAAUUAUCACUAAAUAUAUGCCUUUUACAUUUCUAUCACGUAAUCAUCCAAUGAGGGGCCCCUAUUGAAUUAUGAGUUUGUUUGUUGCUGAUUGAACGCAGAAAUAGGCCACAGAUGAAUAGAACAUUUUUAUUUAGUGAUCUGCUUUUUAAUGAACUACAUCCUAGGACCAAUUAGAAAGAUUAAAGCUAACCUGAGAGUUUAGAAACAGUCCUAAGCAUGAAAAUUGGCAUCUGAGUUUAGGAAUGAUUAAAAAAAUUUAAUCCAACUCUAUUAAUUUCUCCUAACUGUGCAACAUUUUCAGAUAUGUGAACUGUUUCCAGAGGAAUGCUUCUAAAACUUCUGUGUUCUCGAAGAUGCCAACUGCUGACUGCUCUUGCUUGUAUUGUGAAUUAUGGAGAUUUAUUUAACAGACACUCAACUUUAAUUUGUGCAUAAAAAUUCUUCAGUGCCCCUCCCCUGUGUUAUAGCUUGCAGUUUUUUAGGCUCUCUAAUGCACUCACCUUGCUUCUUCCUUUUCUCCUCAUUUUUCUCUCUUCCCUCUCUGUGCUCCUUAAAGCCAUCCACUAGGCAGGCAAUUAGGGACUGAGCACAGAUGCAUCCUUUAAUUUAAUUUCACAUUCCAUCAUCUGAAACAUGACCGAGUGUGUGCUGCUUUUGGCCUGCAGAGUGCUGGGAAAUCAAUAUGUUAAUUUACCUUCAUCUUUUCAAAUCAUCUUUUAGAGAGCAAGCCCCUCCUGUGAAGAGACUCCUGCUGCAGAUGGGGCAGGGACUGUAAGAGACACUGACCCAAGUACCGGUAUCCUCAUGGUCCCUCAACCAUGUUAAUGAGUUGUGUUCUAAAGUGUAUUUGAAUUACUUGAAACUUUAAACAUUUUCUUUUCUCCUGCUGAAAUAUAUUCAUAGUUAUUAUGAUUCCAAGUGCCCCUUAAAACCCUCCACACCCCUAGUAUAUGUAAAAAUACACCUGAAACAGCUAAUACACAAGGUGGCAAUGAUACAAAUGUAGUUCUAGUUCAUCUGUUCUACUGGCGGGGUAUUUCCAUUAGUGAAUUCUAUGGUUGAAUUCUUUGUUUGCAUCCAGAUCAUAUUGUUGAUUCAUCCUUACCUUGUGGUAAAGUGAAACCUCCAAGGAUUUUCCUACAUCAAAUGAUCCAAGGUUAAGGCUAUACCUCCCCACCCUCUUUUACCUGUACAAUGAAAGUGUUUUACAUUAACAAAAGCAUAUCCCUGUGGCAUUCUGCCCUUGCCUGGUUUGUCUCAUUGUUCAUGCAAGUGGAGAGCUUUAGGAGUCUUCUUUUACCUGCUGUCCAGCACAUUCACUUGAACUCAGUUGUGUCACUUUCAUACUGAGUUAGUUUUAUUUCUGCCUUUAUGCAAAUCUUGAAUAGAAAUAUGAGGUGUGGCGGCUUUAAGAGCUUCAAUUUUCAGAGCAUUUUCACAAGCAAACAUUCAGUCAAGCCUCCUUCAAACCUUGGGAAGUGGACUGAGCCAGUUAAUGGGGUCUCCAUUUCUGCGGAUGGCAAACAGAAGCAGUGGGUCGCUCCUGUCUCACAAUGAAUACAUGACGGCUCUGAAUAGCACUCUGGAAGCAUUUGGCUUUGUCCUUUUUCUAUUACAUGACUAAUAGCUCACUGAAUUUAUUCUCAGAUAUACUGUUUUCAGUUUUUUUGAACUUUGAUAAAUAUUCCUUUGAUCCCGUCUUCUAGUACCAUUCAAGUUUCCCAUGACCACGCAGAGAUUAACCACAGAGGUUCUUGGAUCAUGCUUCAUCUUUUGUAUCUUCUCAUGGAAACUAUUUGUGUCUGAAGGCUUGAGUGCAGUUAAACUGCAGCACCAAGCUUUUUCCUGAGUAUCUUUUCACCUAUUAUGUUUUUACGGAUAGAGGAAAUGAAUGCAAGGGAGCUUGGGGCUUCUGUUUGCUCUUGCUAUUUUCUUAACAUUACAGCAAUUAAAUGCCUCCCCGAGCAAAAACAGUGAUUUGUUCCUUUCUAUGUUCUUACUGUGACUAGAACUAAUAUAAUUAACCUCAACUUUCCAAGGUCCCACUGACCUAAGGGUAAAGGAAGGUCUCAGUAACUAUGAAGAUGGCAUUUCUGUGCUCUGGCCCACUUCACCCAUUGAAUUCCCUUAAGAGAACAUCACUCUGACUGCUUUUGGAAGUUCUUUGUCUACUUAGUCUGGAAAAUUCUGGUUUCCUGGCUGCCAUGUUUGGGGAAGGACCUCCUGUCUUGUAGCUUUAUGAGUCUCUUCCCACUCCUAGUGCUCUGAGGCAUGGCUGCCAGUAUGGGCUCAGGCCUACUUUGGGUUUCCGGUGGGUUCUAAGAAUCAAACUCAAUAGACACAGCACUUUCCUUUCUGUUUGUGCUAUGCUUUGUCACUAGGGCUUAAGAGCUGGGCUGCUCUGUGCUUUCCAAAGCCUAUGGGCUCCAGGUCAGCAGUGUGUUCCUAUCACCAGUCCCCAGAGCUCCGUCACAAACUAAUGCAACAUCAGGCACCCCCUAACCUGGAGCCCUUAUCUUAUCUUUUAGACCAAGCCUUACAUAACACCAGGCUUUUCACUUGGCACAUGCUGUUCCGUUGGUUGUUUUCCACCCUUCUGUUAAAGACGUACCCCAUUAACGUCUCAGACUGCCCAGCUGUGACUGAAGAUGGACGCCAACAGGACUGAUGCUCUCAAUCUUAGACCCCAUCAAUAAAACAUUCUUUGUGAUGUUUUCAGCAAUUUUCUAAAGGAUCUGAUUUAUUCAGGGUUUUAUACCCCUCUACUGUCCUUUGGGGUCACAUUUCAGUAUUUAUUUCUUAAUUAUGUUCCAGUUCUUCCAUUUCUCAUAUAAUAUCUAAGCUCACCAAGGAGUCUCCUGCUUAGUCGCUCUCUCUACUGAGAGUCAGAUGACAGUGGAGUGCUCCCGCUCUACAUGUUAUAGGGUUAGGUUUACAUUCUGGCUUUGCCACCUAUGAGCUCAUGACCUUGGACAACUCACUCAAUCUUAUCAAGUCUCAGUUCCCUAAGCGCAGGGGUCUAUUAGAGAAUAAGUUAGAUAACCACAUAAAAUUUCUACUCCAUAUCUAGAAUACAAGUUUUCAAUAAGCCUUGGUUAUUUGUUUUUCAUCACUGUUAUUACCACAUUUUAGUUUUCUUCUUGACAUCUGUCCUUUUUAAUGAGUUUUUUUUUUAUAUGUUUAGGUGCUGUUUUAAUAAGUUGGGACACUUUUCUAAAACUUAUGGCACUUGUAGUGAGCCUCUAUGGAUUUAUUUAUGGCACUUGUAGUGAGCCUCUAUUCUGUAUUAGAUCUGGGAUUCUUGGCUAUAUGUGGCCCAGACCCUAAGGACUUUGUCUCUUUCUAGAGUCACUGAAAUAACUUUUCAUGUUUACUUGAGGCUUAGGAAAAUUAAUAUUUUUCCAAACUAACAGAAGGAGACUCUUUAAAAAGCCAAGUCACUUGUAUAACUAUGCAUAUUUGGAGUGAGCCUAGGUUCUUUGAGACUCCUUUGCACUGGGAUUGUCCAGAAGCAAAUUGCCUCCAAAUCUCUUUGGAACAAAAGGAAUCCCAAAUUUAAUUCAGCCUUAACAUAUACUUCAUAGAUCUGUAGCAACAGAAAACAUAUAGACCUUAAUUUAAGAUAAAUUCAAUGCUUCAUCAUUUGCUCAUACACAGUUGCUCCAUCUCUGUGUAUGUGCAAGAUCUUGCAGGCUCAUGGCCCAAGAUAUUCAUUUAAAUAUAGUUGAGACUUAAUGGUGCAGUGUGUUACCACAUUAUAUUUGAGUACGAGGUUGGAAAAAUCUAAUAAUGAGAAUAAAAGUAUCAUUAAAAGUGGAUUUCCUUUAAAUAAGCAUUUUCUGAAUUUAAGUAGGAAAUUAAGACUUCAAAAGAUGAAAUGGACUGUGGCAUUGAGUCUUUGGCAUGUCUCUGAAUAAUAAGCCACAACACAUAGGCCAACUAAAUAGGUUUUACAAAUAAAGUAAAUGGGGGUUGCUAGUGGGAUGAGGUGGGGUAUGGCUUGUUUGAUUAAUAAACAUAAAGGAGAGAAAAUCCAUCAAUCAUAGUAAAGUGAAAGGAGAUUCCUGAUCCAUUCAGCCUCCCCUUACAAAUUUCAUUGCACAUUGCCCUUUUUCAGUCCCCUGCUUUUCUCUGGCCAUUUUGUGAACCUCUUUCAUUGCCCUGCCUCAACUUCCCCAGUGGGUCAGCCUCAGCACUUUAGCUCCAGCCUCCUAUUUGCCAUUAUCUCUUUCAAAAAUAUAAGCUGUCUUCUCCAUCAUAUACAAGAUUUGUAUUCAUCUACUUUUUCUUGUUCUUAACAAGAGUAACUUUCACAGAAUAAUCUUGGGCAUGACCCAGCUAUAGAAAAUUAGUUUUGUAGUACUUUUGUUGAUGAACUUCAUAUGGUUCAUACUAUCCAUCCAGGCACUCCUGAAGUUUAGCUGUCCUGAACAGGAACUCUCAGAUUUUGAAGUAUGACAGAAAUAAAGGACUGGCUUGUCCUAUUGUUCCCUUGGUUAAUUGUUUGCUUAUUCUUUUAUUCCAUUCUUUAUUUAGCAUUUGCCAUGGCAAUAAUAAUAAUAAUAAUAAUAAUAAUAACCAUUUAUCUAACACUUGCUAUGUGCCAAGACACUGUGCCAAGUGCUUUUUAUGCAUUAGUUCAUUUCAAUAAUCUCAUGAGUUAAGCACUAUUAUUACCCACAUUUUACAGGUGAGGAAAUGGAGGUACAAUGCGAUUCAAUAAUUUCUCCCAAGGCCACCAGCUAAUGAGUAGCAUAUUUGGGAUGCAAUCUUGUAUUUAAUAGCUCUUAUACCCAUCCUUCAAUUACUAAAGUAGUUUUCAAAUUAUAAACAAAUAAAACAUUCUAUUAUUCGCUGCUCAUUUAUUAAAGCUGAGAGUGUAGGCAAGGUAGGAUAGGAGAGAAAACAUCUGCCUUUUCUAAUUCUUCGCUGUUAUUUUUUGUGAGUCCAGAUAUGGGAGUUGGUGUAGCCAGGAAAACAUAACAUAUAUUGGGGGGAAAAAAUGAUUGUUAAACAGUGAAUUUGCUGGGAAGGGAGAGAUUUUUUCCCCCUAUUUUCAGAAGGGUUGCAGCAAUAAGACAGGUAAUGAAGGGUGGUGUUCAGUACACUAGACUUUUCUCUGUGGCUGAGUUAAUUCUCAGUGUGUUCUGAAAUGCCAGUUGUGACCUGGACCCCUGACCCAGAAUAAUGCAGUGAAGAAGCCUCACGUCAGGGAACUUACUCCUUCCUCUUUCUCCGGUUAGAGUCUGGUGGCCUUUCCCUGCCUGCUUCAUUUUGGUUAGCAGGGGAGAACUGUUUUGUGUGCACACAGGAAGAGGAGAUAAAGCAUCAUUUCUUAGGGCAGAAUCACAGGGUGGCAGGGGUAUUGAUGUGAAGUUCAAGGGGCUUCAUCUAUAGUGAUUGUGACCUGAAACAUCUGGAGUAGAGCCUAAGAGUCUGCACUUUCAACAGGCGCACCAGGAGAUUCUGAUGACAGUGCUCUGAAAAAGGCCAAAGAAAAAGAACAUUUCCACUGUGGGAAAUACUCCAACUGCUGCAUAUAUUUGAUGGCGGCCAUCGGCCCUCAAAGUGAAGUCCCUGAACAGCAUCCACAUCAUCUGGGAACUUGUUAGAAAUGCCAAGCCAGAGCACUGAGUCAGAAACUCUGGGACAGGGCCCAACUGCCACUUCACAAGGGCUCCAGGUGAUUUUCACAGACCAAAGUGUCCUUGUAGAAUUCCAUAUCACUGGUUCUCAAAUGUGGCUCCAUACUGAAAUUCCCCACAGAGGUUUAAAAUCUGGGUCACAUACCCAGAGAUGCUGAUUGAGAGGAUCUGGGAUGUAGGCUCAUUAUAGUAUUUUUAAAAAGGAUUCCCAGCUACUCUAAGGUGUAGAAAAAUUUGAGAACCAUUGGCUAUAGUUCAGUUUACCAAAGUUUGGGGUCUCUGUUAUGUGAAAACUCUUGAAGGCAAGCAUUAUACCCCAGUCACUAAUAAUGAAAUGGCACUGUAUGAAGUAAAGAAUAAAUGUUAUGUAUAAACGGUAUCUAGAUGACAUGUUUAUGUUCCAUAAUCUACCUUUACAUUUUAACAUGAUCGUGGAAAAUGUAAAUAACUUUCUCCAAGCCACUGGAAAUACCAAAUGAAGUUGGAACAAGAACACACCCUCCCUACCUUCCUUCCCCUACUGGCCAGUCUCCUGGGUCAUUCAAGCUCCCACAUCAUUGGCUUCCUCAGUUCCCUCAG
Long non-coding RNA from Marmota monax (woodchuck), 18495 nucleotides. RefSeq lists it as uncharacterized. The record is from RefSeq and is a predicted model, not a curated record. NCBI's taxonomy places the organism in Eukaryota, Metazoa, Chordata, Mammalia, Rodentia, Sciuridae. The transcript is spliced from 3 exons.